AGCCAUGCGUCGAGCACAAAGCGAACUAUUCUUUCGCCUUUUACUAAGCGAAUACCAUGUGCACGUCGCUUUAAACGGCAUACGCCUAUUUUUGAAAGGGCGCACCUCUGUGGGUGCC
This 118-nucleotide small nuclear RNA is filed under the name Prunus persica (peach). Its description in RNAcentral is "U5 spliceosomal RNA". It matches the Rfam family "U5 spliceosomal RNA". Rfam says of the family: U5 RNA is a component of both types of known spliceosome. The precise function of this molecule is unknown, though it is known that the 5' loop is required for splice site selection and p220 binding, and that both the 3' stem-loop and the Sm site are important for Sm protein binding and cap methylation. Lineage: Eukaryota; Viridiplantae; Streptophyta; Magnoliopsida; Rosales; Rosaceae. The record is from Rfam by way of RNAcentral.